This 216-nucleotide ribosomal RNA is filed under the name Glomeromycotina sp. RNAcentral's name for it is "partial small subunit ribosomal RNA". The stretch from base 40 to 216 matches the Rfam family "Eukaryotic small subunit ribosomal RNA", at positions 686 to 864 of the family's 1831-position model. The record is from RNAcentral. Lineage: Eukaryota; Fungi; Glomeromycota.
GGGUCAGUAGGUUGGUCGUGCCACCGGUACGUACUGGUCUCACUGAUUCCUCCUUCCUGAAGAACCGUAAUGCCAUUAAUUUGGUGUUGCGGGGGAACAGGACUGUUACUUUGAAAAAACUAGAGUGUUUAAAGCAAGCUAACGCUUGAAUACAUUUGCAUGGAAUAAUGAAAUAGGACGAUCGAUCCUAUUUUGUUGGUUUCUAGGAUUGACGUA